Molecule: long non-coding RNA, 380 nt
Organism: Lucilia cuprina (Australian sheep blowfly)
Lineage: Eukaryota; Metazoa; Arthropoda; Insecta; Diptera; Calliphoridae
Exons: 2
Source: RefSeq, a predicted model, not a curated record
AAAACAAUGAAUGUUUUAUAAAAAUGGAGAAGACAAUUAUUGGCCCUUAAUUGAUUGAACGUCUUUACAUAUUCAUUCAUAUACAGUGUAAAACAUAUAUGUAUGGUGGAUCAUGCUGAUUGUUUCUAAAAUCCAAUGUGUUGCUUGUCAGAUUUACAGCUAAACUAAACAUAAAAAUAAAACGACAUGAAUAUUUUUACAUUUAAAAGUAUUAUUUUUUUUAUUAAUUUUAAGAUGGUAAUUCUAUGCUAGAGUUUUUAUUUUAGGUUUCAUUUUUUUCUUAAACGCCUUAAACACAUGGCUUUUUUUAUUAAUCCUUUUUUUUAUUUUCACGUUCUAUUAACUUAAUCAAAAAGUGAAAUAUUUUCGUUACUUUUUUG